GUGGUUGAUCCCGUCGGAAGUGUAAUCUUGGGGCUUAACCCUGAGCGUGCUUUCGAUACGGGUUGACUUGAGGAAGGUAGGGGAGAAUGGAAUUCCUGGUGGAGCGGUGGAAUGCGCAGAUAUCAGGAGGAACACCAGUGGCGAAGGCGGUUCUCUGGGCCUUUCCUGACGCUGAGGAGCGAAAGCGUGGGGAGCGAACAGGCUUAGAUACCCUGGUAGUCCACGCUGUAAACGGUGGGUACUAGGUGUGGGGUCCAUUCCACGGAUUCCGUGCCGAAGCUAACGCAUUAAGUGCCCCGCCUGGGGAGUACGGCCGCAAGGCUAAAACUCAAAGGAAUUGACG
This 343-nucleotide ribosomal RNA is filed under the name uncultured bacterium. RNAcentral's name for it is "bacterial SSU rRNA". It matches the Rfam family "Bacterial small subunit ribosomal RNA", at positions 575 to 915 of the family's 1533-position model. The record is from RNAcentral.